GACGAACGCUGGCGGCGUGCUUAACACAUGCAAGUCGAACGGAAAGGCCCUGCUUUUGUGGGGUGCUCGAGUGGCGAACGGGUGAGUAACACGUGAGUAACCUGCCCUUGACUUUGGGAUAACUUCAGGAAACUGGGGCUAAUACCGGAUAGGAGCUCCUGCUGCAUGGUGGGGGUUGGAAAGUUUCGGCGGUUGGGGAUGGACUCGCGGCUUAUCAGCUUGUUGGUGGGGUAGUGGCUUACCAAGGCUUUGACGGGUAGCCGGCCUGAGAGGGUGACCGGCCACAUUGGGACUGAGAUACGGCCCAGACUCCUACGGGAGGCAGCAGUGGGGAAUAUUGCACAAUGGGCGGAAGCCUGAUGCAGCAACGCCGCGUGCGGGAUGACGGCCUUCGCGUUGUAAACCGCUUUCGCCUGUGACGAGGCGUGAGUGACGGUAAUGGGUAAAGAAGCACCGGCUAACUACGUG
This 468-nucleotide ribosomal RNA is filed under the name uncultured bacterium. Its description in RNAcentral is "partial 16S ribosomal RNA". It matches the Rfam family "Bacterial small subunit ribosomal RNA", at positions 28 to 507 of the family's 1533-position model. The record is from RNAcentral.